GGUAUUAUAAUUAAGUUGUGUAAGAUCAUAGAACUGAUUUGAAAAACAUUCAACAUACUCUCGUAUGCAUAGAACAAGAUAUUUUUGAUUUGCAAUUUUCUAAUUUUUAAGGGUUUGUGUAAAGGGAAUAAAGAAGAUAGAAUCAACAUACAAAUAUUCAAUUUCACUGCUUAGAAAUGUAAAAGUAGCCCAUGUCAUUUAUUUUAUUUUUUUAUU
Cinara cedri is the source of this 216-nucleotide non-coding RNA. Lineage: Eukaryota; Metazoa; Arthropoda; Insecta; Hemiptera; Aphididae. The record is from the annotation of a GenBank genome assembly.